GGCAGCACGGGUGCUUGCACCUGGUGGCGAGUGGCGAACGGGUGAGUAAUACAUCGGAACAUGUCCUGUAGUGGGGGAUAGCCCGGCGAAAGCCGGAUUAAUACCGCAUACGAUCUAUGGAUGAAAGCGGGGGACCUUCGGGCCUCGCGCUAUAGGGUUGGCCGAUGGCUGAUUAGCUAGUUGGUGGGGUAAAGGCCUACCAAGGCGACGAUCAGUAGCUGGUCUGAGAGGACGACCAGCCACACUGGGACUGAGACACGGCCCAGACUCCUACGGGAGGCAGCAGUGGGGAAUUUUGGACAAUGGGCGAAAGCCUGAUCCAGCAAUGCCGCGUGUGUGAAGAAGGCCUUCGGGUUGUAAAGCACUUUUGUCCGGAAAGAAAUCCUUGGCUCUAAUACAGUCGGGGGAUGACGGUACCGGAAGAAUAAGCACCGGCUAACUACGUGCCAGCAGCCGCGGUAAUACGUAGGGUGCAAGCGUUAAUCGGAAUUACUGGGCGUAAAGCGUGCGCAGGCGGUUUGCUAAGACCGAUGUGAAAUCCCCGGGCUCAACCUGGGAACUGCAUUGGUGACUGGCAGGCUAGAGUAUGGCAGAGGGGGGUAGAAUUCCACGUGUAGCAGUGAAAUGCGUAGAGAUGUGGAGGAAUACCGAUGGCGAAGGCAGCCCCCCUGGGCCAAUACUGACGCUCAUGCACGAAAGCGUGGGGGAGCAAACAGGAUUAGAUACCCUGGUAGUCCACGCCCUAAACGAUGUCAACUAGUUGUUGGGGAUUCAUUUCCCUAGUAACGUAGCUAACGCGUGAAGUGACCGCCUUGGGGAGUACGGUCGCAAGAUUAAAACUCAAAGGAAUUGACGGGGACC
Molecule: ribosomal RNA, 861 nt
Filed under: Burkholderia sp.
Lineage: Bacteria; Pseudomonadati; Pseudomonadota; Betaproteobacteria; Burkholderiales; Burkholderiaceae
Description: bacterial SSU rRNA
Rfam family: Bacterial small subunit ribosomal RNA
Source: RNAcentral